RNAcentral lists this non-coding RNA (105 nucleotides) under Yersinia enterocolitica. Its description in RNAcentral is "Yersinia sRNA 224". It matches the Rfam family "Yersinia sRNA 224". Lineage: Bacteria; Pseudomonadati; Pseudomonadota; Gammaproteobacteria; Enterobacterales; Yersiniaceae. The record is from RNAcentral.
AGGUUAAUGACAAAGUGCUCGUAUCAGUGAAAACAGGCAGAUCGUAAAGACGCCGUAAAUCGUCCCUGAUGGCUCGAGCCGCGCCAUCCGUGGCGCGGACGCUUU